GAGGUAGUGGCUCAGUGGUAGAGCACUUGCCUAGCAUGUGUGAGGCACUGGGUUCCAUCCCCAGCACCACA
This 71-nucleotide transfer RNA is filed under the name Marmota monax (woodchuck). RNAcentral's name for it is "tRNA.Ala". It matches the Rfam family "tRNA". Rfam says of the family: Transfer RNA (tRNA) molecules are approximately 80 nucleotides in length. Their secondary structure includes four short double-helical elements and three loops (D, anti-codon, and T loops). Lineage: Eukaryota; Metazoa; Chordata; Mammalia; Rodentia; Sciuridae. The record is from RNAcentral.